This is a long non-coding RNA of Carassius auratus (goldfish), 2469 nucleotides long. RefSeq lists it as uncharacterized. Lineage: Eukaryota; Metazoa; Chordata; Actinopteri; Cypriniformes; Cyprinidae. The record is from RefSeq and is a predicted model, not a curated record. The transcript is spliced from 3 exons.
CCCCAUCUCGCAGCUUUGACCCUCAUGUCUCCAGGAUCUCGAAGCAUAUGAAUGUGCAAAUCCCCACACAUCGCUCCAACACCUCCCCGCAUGUUUUACCCCCUCCUUCCCACAAUCCUACUGUGUUCCCUCAUGGACUGCAGCCCCAAAACCCUCACCCAAGCCACCGCCACCACCCCGCCCCUCCAACCCACCUCCACCAGCAGACACUGAGGCCCUCUCAUGGACAAACAGGAGAUUGCCAAAAGGCCAACAAGUUUCUGGCUGUGCUUGACAGGGGUGAAGCGUUCUCCCGUGAAAACUACCACAAAGUUGCACUGAGCUACGGCACCCUUCCACGAGCCCCCCGUAGGUCAGUUUCAUCUGGGCCUCCUGUGCACCAAAUGAGGCCCCCAGCGGGCCCGGGGCCCCGGAACUACCCAGACGCAGUCUACGCCACUCUGUCCCACCCUCACCGCACGACAGCAUCAAAUAGGACAAUGGAUGGUUUUUACAGACAGCCCCCACCAGAAAUCUGCUUCAGCCACCCCGAUCCCGCAUCACUCCAGCCAUCAUCACCCACACCUAGAGCUACCGUCCCAACCCCUCCGCCUCGAUGUGCCCCCCGAGAGGGACUGGAGGGCUGCUAGGGACUCUCAUUCCUUCCCCAGGACAGAACCACGUGGUGGGACAUCCCGUGGCCCUCCUGUUUAUAUCUGUGGGUUGUGCAAGCAGAACCCAGCUGAGCCUACUAGAAGCUACUGCCAGACCUGCAGAGCUCAUGUGAACCACUACAGGAAGACCAGCUGAGUCAUACAGGAAAUGCAUCCUUCAACGCACUCAUUCUCGGUUUUGGAAGUAAACGUGAGAGCCCAUGCCAAUUCUGUGAAGCUCUUCACACGGCAAAAAGCAGGAAGUUCUUGUUAGCUGCUUUGGCUAAAGACUCAUAAGUGAAUGUUUGACUCAUACAGUAUGUGAAUGUGGAGUGCUGCUUCAUUUAAACGCUAAAAGGAGGAUGUCCGCUCUCUGUGCUUUUACCUACAGUAAAUGUUCCCACUGCUAAUUCAGUUCUGUAGAGUUAAGUCCACAUUAAUUGGCCACCUUCUCAGCAAAAAAGCUGUGAAGAACAGAGCACUUUGCUACAUGGGACACUGCAUCUUCUCUGAUGCAAACACAAAACGCCAAGACUGACAAACUUUGCCUGCUGGCAUACAGUGUCUGCUCCGUAUAUGCACAAAAUACGCUUUAGUUUCCUACUAGCAUUCCAAGCUAACAUUAGUUAGUUCUGUGAUUGUAAUUGAACUAUGUUAACCCCAGUUUAGUGCACUUCAGAAGUGUUAAGUUAGAAGCUUCUCUGUUGUAACUUCUCCCAUUUUUAUGGGAAAACAAUGUUUUAAGUGUAACUACAUCAUUUAGAGGGAAGUAAUAAGAGGUACAUCAGAUUCCUCUAGUGUACUAACAGUCAACUUUCAACAACCUCAAUGGCAUUUGUGUCGGUAUUUUUGUGGACAGUAUUGUUCUGCCUGAUAGUAGCACCUACACCUGUUGUGAUCUUUUUUUAUAUAUAUAUAUAUUUUGUAGUAGCAGCAGUUUAACUUUUUGAUUCAUACCAUAUAUCUUACAUUAACUGUUAAGUGCAAAACUUUUUCAGGCUGUUAUAAGACUAAAGAGAUCGUAAACAGAAGGACAGAACAUUCUGCAGUGCCUUGGUUUGCAAAAGGCAACGUAACUGGGUGCCAGUGACCAUUUUAUAGAUUUCCAGUCAUAUAAUAAUGCUUAUUAUAGUAGUGCUAAAUUCAAGAAUUGCAAUUCUCAACUGAGAUCAUUUCAGUUUUUCCCCCACUGGAGGAUAAGUGAUUUUUAUAUUUAUUGUAUUUAAUUUCUUAGAUUCUGUUGAGGAGGAUCUUGUGGCUGGAGAUGGUUAACUGUUGAGUGUCUGUCAGCUAUUAGCAGAGUUUAACAAUGUGCCAUUUCAUGGAAAUGAAAGGGUUACCUGCUCAUCCAAGUGAACACGAGUAGUUUAUAUUGAAACAAAGGCCAAACAUUUGUUUAAUUUUAGAGCAUGUCAAAUACCUCAACCAUUCACAUGCUCCCUUGUUUUUAUUUCACCAGAACAGUUUAGCAUGUACUGUGGUUUGUUAAUCAGGACCUAACGGUGAAUCAGAGUGCCUCUGCAUUAAAUUCCCAUUGAAUUAUCGGAAGCUUUUUUUUUUUUCCUUGGUUUGGCCAAUCUGCAGUGUAGCACUGCCCUGGUGUGAUUACUGACAGAACAGGGAUCUGUGAUUGAUUCACCCUUCCUUCCUUUUUUUCUGCGUUAAAAUACGAACAGAUAUGGCAAAGAAGCAAGGCUGUAUAUAUAAGUGUGUACAGAUAUUCAGUCUUCGACCUUAAGAACAAACAGAUUCGGAUUUGUUGUAAAUGCCGUGCUAGAAAUGAAACUUGUAUUUUUGCAAUAAAGUUAUAUUGAGCUCCAGUCAGGAGCAGAACGUG